AGAGAUAGAAAGUUACUUCGGUUACAUCGGUGACAGGUGGUGCAUGGUUGUCGUCAGCUCGUGUCGUGAGAUGUUGGGUUAAGUCCCGCAACGAGCGCAACCCCUAUUGUUAGUUGCCAUCAUUCAGUUGGGCACUCUAGCGAGACUGCCGGUAAUAAACCGGAGGAAGGUGGGGAUGACGUCAAAUCAUCAUGCCCCUUAUGACCUGGGCUACACACGUGCUACAAUGGUCGGUACAAAGGGUUGCCAAGCCGCGAGGUGGAGCUAAUCCCAUAAACCGAUCGUAGUCCGGAUCGCAGUCUGCAACUCGACUGCGUGAAGUCGGAAUCGCUAGUAAUCGUGAAUCAGAAUGUCACGGUGAAUACGUUCCCGGGCCUU
This 378-nucleotide ribosomal RNA is filed under the name uncultured Pseudomonas sp. RNAcentral's name for it is "bacterial SSU rRNA". It matches the Rfam family "Bacterial small subunit ribosomal RNA", at positions 1002 to 1382 of the family's 1533-position model. The record is from RNAcentral. Lineage: Bacteria; Pseudomonadati; Pseudomonadota; Gammaproteobacteria; Pseudomonadales; Pseudomonadaceae.